RNAcentral lists this ribosomal RNA (674 nucleotides) under Bacillus sp. UST050418-887. RNAcentral describes it as "bacterial SSU rRNA". It matches the Rfam family "Bacterial small subunit ribosomal RNA", at positions 71 to 719 of the family's 1533-position model. Lineage: Bacteria; Bacillati; Bacillota; Bacilli; Caryophanales; Bacillaceae. The record is from RNAcentral.
GAUUAGAGCUUGCUCUUAUGAAGUUAGCGGCGGACGGGUGAGUAACACGUGGGUAACCUGCCCAUAAGACUGGGAUAACUCCGGGAAACCGGGGCUAAUACCGGAUAACAUUUUGAACUGCAUGGUUCGAAAUUGAAAGGCGGCUUCGGCUGUCACUUAUGGAUGGACCCGCGUCGCAUUAGCUAGUUGGUGAGGUAACGGCUCACCAAGGCAACGAUGCGUAGCCGACCUGAGAGGGUGAUCGGCCACACUGGGACUGAGACACGGCCCAGACUCCUACGGGAGGCAGCAGUAGGGAAUCUUCCGCAAUGGACGAAAGUCUGACGGAGCAACGCCGCGUGAGUGAUGAAGGCUUUCGGGUCGUAAAACUCUGUUGUUAGGGAAGAACAAGUGCUAGUUGAAUAAGCUGGCACCUUGACGGUACCUAACCAGAAAGCCACGGCUAACUACGUGCCAGCAGCCGCGGUAAUACGUAGGUGGCAAGCGUUAUCCGGAAUUAUUGGGCGUAAAGCGCGCGCAGGUGGUUUCUUAAGUCUGAUGUGAAAGCCCACGGCUCACCGUGGACGGGUCCAUUGGAAACUUGGGGAGCACUUGAGUGCAGAAGAGGAANGUGGAAUUCCCUUGUUGUCGGCGGUGAAAUGCGUAGAGAUUUGGCAGGAACACCAGGUGGCGAA